GUGCCUGUAGCUCAAAAGGAUAGAGCGCUGGACUCCGGAUCCGGAGGUUGCGGGUUCGACUCCCGCCAGGCACGCCA
This 77-nucleotide transfer RNA is filed under the name Kosmotoga arenicorallina. RNAcentral's name for it is "tRNA-Arg". It matches the Rfam family "tRNA". Rfam says of the family: Transfer RNA (tRNA) molecules are approximately 80 nucleotides in length. Their secondary structure includes four short double-helical elements and three loops (D, anti-codon, and T loops). The record is from RNAcentral. Lineage: Bacteria; Thermotogati; Thermotogota; Thermotogae; Kosmotogales; Kosmotogaceae. RNAcentral also lists the same sequence under 2 other names.